CCCUUAGAUGUCCUGGGCCGCACGCGCGCUACACUGAUGCAUGCAACGAGUUUAUAACCUUGGCCUGAAAGGUCUGGGUAAUCUUUUGAACGUGCAUCGUGAUAGGGAUAGAUUAUUGCAAUUGUUAAUCUUGAACGAGGAAUUCCUAGUAAACGCGAGUCAUCAGCUCGCAUUGAUUACGUCCCUGCCCUUUGUACACACCGCCCGUCGCACCUACCGAUUGAAUGGUUCGGUGAAGAGCUCGGACUUCGAUAUUUAUUCUUUAUUGAGUUUAUAUUGUGGGAAGUUAUCUAAACCUCAUCAUUUAGAGGAAGGUGAAGUCGUAACA
RNAcentral lists this ribosomal RNA (328 nucleotides) under uncultured eukaryote. Its description in RNAcentral is "partial 18S ribosomal RNA". It matches the Rfam family "Eukaryotic small subunit ribosomal RNA", at positions 1470 to 1796 of the family's 1831-position model. The record is from RNAcentral.